AGUGAACGCUGGCGGUAGGCCUAACACAUGCAAGUCGAACGGCAGCACAGUAAGAGCUUGCUCUUACGGGUGGCGAGUGGCGGACGGGUGAGGAAUACAUCGGAAUCUACUUUUUCGUGGGGGAUAACGUAGGGAAACUUACGCUAAUACCGCAUACGACCUACGGGGGAAAGCAGGGGAUCUUCGGACCUUGCGCGAUUGAAUGAGCCGAUGUCGGAUUAGCUAGUUGGCGGGGUAAAGGCCCACCAAGGCGACGAUCCGUAGCUGGUCUGAGAGGAUGGUCAGCCACACUGGAACUUAGACACGGUCCAGACUCCUACGGGAGGCAGCGGUGGGGAAUAUUGGACAAUGGGCGCAAGCCUGAUCCAGCCAUACCGCGUGGGUGAAGAAGGCCUUCGGGUUGUAAAGCCCUUUUGUUGGGAAAGAAAAGCAGCAGGUUAAUACCCCGCUGUUCUGACGGUACCCAAAGAAUAAGCACCGGCUAACUUCGUG
RNAcentral lists this ribosomal RNA (492 nucleotides) under uncultured bacterium. Its description in RNAcentral is "partial 16S ribosomal RNA". It matches the Rfam family "Bacterial small subunit ribosomal RNA", at positions 29 to 507 of the family's 1533-position model. The record is from RNAcentral.